UAAGCGGAGGAAAAGAAACUAACAAGGAUUCCCCUAGUAACUGCGAGUGAAGCGGGAAGAGCUCAAAUUUAAAAUCUGGCGGUCUCGCACCGUCCGAGUUGUAAUCUAGAGAAGCGCUAUCCGCGUUGGACCGUGUACAAGUCUCCUGGAAUGGAGCGUCACAGAGGGUGAGAAUCCCGUCUUUGACACGGACUACCAAGGCUUAUGUGAUGCGCUCUCGAAGAGUCGAGUUGUUUGGGAAUGCAGCUCAAAAUGGGUGGUAAAUUCCAUCUAAAGCUAAAUAUUGGCGAGAGACCGAUAGCGAACAAGUACCGUGAGGGAAAGAUGAAAAGAACUUUGGAAAGAGAGUUAAACAGUACGUGAAAUUGUUGAAAGGGAAACGCUUGAAGUCAGUCGCGUCGUCCGGGGAUCAACCUUGCAUUUUUGCUGGGCGUAUUUCCCGGUUGACGGGUCAGCAUCAAUUUUGACCGUUGGAUAAAGGCUCUGGGAAUGUGGCAUCUUCGGAUGUGUUAUAGCCCCCUGUCGCAUACAACGGUUGGGAUUGAGGAACUCAGCACGCCGCAAGGCCGGGUGUUUUCACCACGUACGUGCUUAGGAUGCUGGCAUAAUGGCUUUA
This 616-nucleotide ribosomal RNA is filed under the name Cuphophyllus lacmus. RNAcentral describes it as "eukaryotic LSU rRNA". It matches the Rfam family "Eukaryotic large subunit ribosomal RNA", at positions 47 to 642 of the family's 3401-position model. The record is from RNAcentral. Lineage: Eukaryota; Fungi; Basidiomycota; Agaricomycetes; Agaricales; Hygrophoraceae.